Molecule: transfer RNA, 67 nt
Filed under: Ruspolia dubia
Lineage: Eukaryota; Metazoa; Arthropoda; Insecta; Orthoptera; Tettigoniidae
Also listed under: 1 other name
Description: tRNA-Asp
Source: RNAcentral
AAGAAAUUAGUUAAAUUCAUAACAUUAAUAUGUCAUAUUAAAAUUAUUAUACAAUUAAUAUUUCUUU